This 240-nucleotide unclassified non-coding RNA is filed under the name soil metagenome. RNAcentral's name for it is "partial contains 5.8S ribosomal RNA, internal transcribed spacer 2, and large subunit ribosomal RNA". The record is from RNAcentral.
AACGCACGAGACCUGCGGACCUGCGGAAGGAUCAUUACCGAGUUUACAACUCCCAAACCCAAUGUGAACCAUACCAAACUGUUGCCUCGGCGGGGUCACGCCCCGGGUGCGUCGCAGCCCCGGAACCAGGCGCCCGCCGGAGGGACCAACCAAACUCUUUUCUGUAGUCCCCUCGCGGACGUUAUUUCUUACAGCUCUGAGCAAAAAUUCAAAAUGAAUCAAAACUUUCAACAACGGAUC